AAAAAAGCAAACCCUGGGUUUCCGUGUCCAACUUUGACUGUCCGUCUUAUAUGAUUUUUUUUAUAAUUCGUAUUUUCAUUGUUGUCAGAUGAUAAAACAUGAUUAAUAUUUUAUGCGUGACUUGUUUUUUUAAUUUUUUUCAUAAUUUUUCAAAUAAGACGGACGGUCAAACGUUGGACACGGAAAUCAGGGUUUGUCUUUUU
Molecule: microRNA precursor, 203 nt
Filed under: Oryza glumipatula
Lineage: Eukaryota; Viridiplantae; Streptophyta; Magnoliopsida; Poales; Poaceae
Description: MIR812 microRNA precursor family
Rfam family: MIR812 microRNA precursor family
Source: Rfam by way of RNAcentral